UGGGGAUUUAGCAGAUUCCCCGCUGUCUAUAAGACGCCUCGCGUCCAAAUCUGC
RNAcentral lists this non-coding RNA (54 nucleotides) under unclassified sequences. Its description in RNAcentral is "chromate-resist RNA". It matches the Rfam family "chrB-b RNA". The record is from RNAcentral.